RNAcentral lists this ribosomal RNA (434 nucleotides) under uncultured bacterium. Its description in RNAcentral is "bacterial SSU rRNA". It matches the Rfam family "Bacterial small subunit ribosomal RNA", at positions 45 to 525 of the family's 1533-position model. The record is from RNAcentral.
GGCCUAACACAUGCAAGUCGAACGCCCUCUUCCGAUGGAGUGGCAGACGGGUGAGUAACGCGUGGGAACCUACCUAGUAGUACGGAAUAACUCAGGGAAACUUGUGCUAAUACCGUAUACGCCCUUCGGGGGAAAGAUUUAUCGCUAUUGGAUGGGCCCGCGUUGGAUUAGCUAGUUGGUGAGGUAACGGCUCACCAAGGCUACGAUCCAUAGCUGGUCUGAGAGGAUGAUCAGCCACACUGGGACUGAGACACGGCCCAGACUCCUACGGGAGGCAGCAGUGGGGAAUAUUGGACAAUGGGGGAAACCCUGAUCCAGCCAUGCCGCGUGAGUGAAGAAGGCCCUAGGGUUGUAAAGCUCUUUCGCUAGGGAAGAUAAUGACGGUACCUAUUAAAGAAGCCCCGGCUAACUUCGUGCCAGCAGCCGCGGUAAUA